AACGAACGCUGGCGGCAUGCCUAACACAUGCAAGUCGAACGAGAAGCCUCGGGGUCUAGUGGCGCACGGGUGCGUAACGCGGGGGAAUCUGCCCUUAGGUUCGGAAUAACAGUUAGAAAUGACUGCUAAUACCGGAUGAUGACGUUAAGUCCAAAGGUUUAUCGCGCGAGGAUGAGACGGCGUAGGAUUAGCUAGUUGGUGUGGUAAAUGCGCACCAAGGCGACGAUCCUUACCUGGUCUGAGAGGAUGAUCAGCCACACUGGGACUGGGACACGGUCCAGACUCCUACGGGAUGGAGGAGAGGGGAACAUUGGAAAGUGGGGUCAAGGCUGAUCCAGCUAUGACCGGUGAGUGAUGAAAGCCUUAGAGAUGUAAAGCUCUUGUACCCGAGAUGAUAUUGACGGUACCGGGAGAAUAAGCCCCGGCUAACUACGUG
RNAcentral lists this ribosomal RNA (436 nucleotides) under uncultured bacterium. RNAcentral's name for it is "partial 16S ribosomal RNA". It matches the Rfam family "Bacterial small subunit ribosomal RNA", at positions 29 to 507 of the family's 1533-position model. The record is from RNAcentral.